GUAGCAAUAGCUCCGUAACACGUGGUCAAACUACCCUCUGGACCGGAAUACCCUCGGGAAACUGAGGCUAAUUCCGGAUACUGCUUUCAUGUUGGAACACAGAAAGUCGGAAACGGUCCGCCGCCGGAGGACGUGACUGCGGCCGAUUAGGUAGACGGUGGGGUAACGGCCCACCGUGCCGAUAAUCGGUACGGGUUGUGAGAGCAAGAACCCGGAGACGGUAUCUGAGACAAGAUACCGGGCCCUACGGGGCGCAGCAGGCGCGAAACCUUUACACUGCACGCCAGUGCGAUAAGGGGACCCCGAGUGCGAGGGCAUACAGUCCUCGCUUUUCGUGACCGUAAGAAGGUCUCAGAAUAAGAGCUGGGCAAGACCGGUGCCAGCCGCCGCGGUAAUACCGGCAGCUCGAGUGAUAGCCACUAUUAUUGGGCCUAAAGCGUCCGUAGCCGGCCGAACAGGUCCGUCGGGAAAUCCACCCGCUCAACGGGUGGACGUCCGGCGGAAACCGGUCGGCUUGGGGCCGGGAGACCAGAGAGGUACGUCCGGGGUAGGAGUGAAAUCCCGUAAUCCUGGACGGACCGCCGGUAGCGAAAGCGUCUCUGGAGAACGGACCCGACGGUGAGGGACGAAAGCUUGGGUCUCGAACCGGAUUAGAUA
This 657-nucleotide ribosomal RNA is filed under the name Halococcus sp. RNAcentral describes it as "bacterial SSU rRNA". It matches the Rfam family "Archaeal small subunit ribosomal RNA", at positions 78 to 735 of the family's 1478-position model. Lineage: Archaea; Methanobacteriati; Methanobacteriota; Halobacteria; Halobacteriales; Halococcaceae. The record is from RNAcentral.